GUCUAUUUUAAAGUUUAUUUGAAGAGGAGCUUACUUUCUAUCCAAGACUGGAACUUAUUUUGUAAUGUAAAUGCCAAUUAUGGAAAAUAGUACAUAACCAUUAUCAAGUUUCUCUUUCAAAAUGAACUCAGCUUGUGGAGUUUGACACUCAUUUCCAUGUUGUUGGAGUGACUUCUUGAACUGGCACAGUUGUCAUUCAUUUGAAAGGAGAUUUUAAAUGAAUUUGGGGAACUUCACCCUCCCCACCCCCAUCUGUCUCCCAUUCAGAUUGCCACAGCAUUUGUCACCUGACGCUGCUGAUCCUUCCCAUCCCUGUUACCUUAGCAAUCAGUAGAGCAAACUCCCAUCUAGCCUUCCU
RNAcentral lists this long non-coding RNA (358 nucleotides) under Bos taurus (domestic cattle). Its description in RNAcentral is "long non-coding RNA NONBTAT006215". Lineage: Eukaryota; Metazoa; Chordata; Mammalia; Artiodactyla; Bovidae. The record is from RNAcentral.